GAUUGGACUCGUACCGGAUUAAAAAACGUGCUUCAGCUGGGCUUUCGGGGUUACAUCAAUAUUUCUCUUCCUCCACUUCCCAUCCUGUUCGUGACUCGUGAUUUCGCCGCCGGAAAGCCGAGGGAGAGGGAGCGAGAUGGGGUUCGUCGGCGACACGAUGGAGUCAAUCCGCUCCAUGCAGAUCCGCCAAUUGCUCACGCAGAUCAUCAGCCUCGGUAUGAUUGUUACCUCUGCAUUAAUCAUAUGGAAGGGGUUGAUAGUUUUCACAGGGAGCGAGUCACCAGUUGUAGUGGUUCUCUCUGGUAGCAUGGAACCUGGAUUUAAAAGGGGUGAUAUCCUGUUUUUGCAUAUGAGCAAAGAUCCUAUUCGCACAGGAGAAAUAGUUGUUUUCAAUAUCGAUGGCCGUGAAAUUCCAAUUGUCCACCGUGUAAUUAAGGUCCAUGAACGUCAGGACACUGCAGAAGUGGACAUCCUCACCAAAGGUGACAAUAAUUUUGGGGAUGACCGACUAUUAUAUGCACAUGGGCAGCUUUGGCUCCAGCAACAUCACAUUAUGGGACGUGCUGUGGGCUACCUUCCAUAUGUUGGCUGGAUUACAAUUAUCAUGACUGAGAAACCAUUUAUUAAGUACCUGCUGAUUGGUGCACUGGGCUUGCUGGUCAUAACGUCGAAAGAUUAGAGUGUCAAACUUCGCGCAGUAUAGAUUUUGCUCUUAUGGUGCAACAUCAGAGCUUUCCAGGAAACCCCCUAGGCUAGCUAUUUGCAAUGAAAAAAUCUGCGCACCAGGACAAAUUUGGGAUAGACGAUUGUUGCUUUUGUUUCAUCUUAUUACAAACGGGCACACGUCAAGCCGGCAACAGGUUCCGGUAAUGUGCUAUGAACAAGCAAUUAAAACGGAGAUUGAUAGGGUGUGUUUGGUUAGGUUUUUGGCUUUGGUUUCGGCUUGGACUUCUCUCCCCUAAAAUCCAAAAGUCAAACAAAGGACUGGAUUUAGGGAGCUGUUUUCUCUGAAAGUCAUUUUUCUCACAAUGUAAAACAGAAAGCAUCUAUAGACCUAAUUUUAGCAGCUUUUGGAUGGAACUAUGAAAAUAUAUAUGGAAGAAUUUUUAAUAGAUUUUAGUGGUUUUUAUCAAAUUUGUUAGCUUUUUAGCAGCUCACAGCAUACAUUUUUUCACAUCUAAUGUUAUUUUUUUACGGCCAGUCUAACAAACAGACCAUGUAUAAACAGUAAGUAUUGCUUCAAGAAGUUUAAUUAGCUCUUUUA
Molecule: RNA transcript, 1264 nt
Organism: Zea mays
Lineage: Eukaryota; Viridiplantae; Streptophyta; Magnoliopsida; Poales; Poaceae
Exons: 9
Source: RefSeq, marked provisional